This is a long non-coding RNA of Haemorhous mexicanus (house finch), 3755 nucleotides long. RefSeq lists it as uncharacterized. NCBI's taxonomy places the organism in Eukaryota, Metazoa, Chordata, Aves, Passeriformes, Fringillidae. The transcript has 2 exons. The record is from RefSeq and is a predicted model, not a curated record.
GGAAAGAGCAUGGGAGCUGGGAGGGAACAGGGGUGGAAGAGUGGAGGAAGCGGUUCCAGCAGAGAAGAAAGGAAGUGGGGGUGGAAAUGCCAGCUCAGAAAGCACCUGGGGGUUACUGGGAGUGCCUUCUCCCUGACUGCAGAACCUGUCUGGGUCUGUGUCUCACUGCUGGAGAUCCUGCACGGGGCUCUGUAACCCUGCUGUGCAACUGGGGCAUUGUCACCAUUGUCACCCCCUGCCUGCCCAGCAGGCUCCUGUGACACUCGUGGCUGUCAGAAAUCAGCAGUCACACGGGGCCAUCUGAAAAUUGCAGUCCCAGCCCCCUCUUUGUCUGAGGCUGGGCUAUGGCUGGACUGUUUCCACCAGAAAGUAUCCAAAAUUCAUGUGGAUCACCUGGGGCAUUGAGCAGUUUGCUUAGUCCAGGUCAAUUCAAAAUGAAAUACUAUCUUUUGAUCCUCUUUGCAAACAAACCUUUUCAAUUUUUUUUUUGGCAGAAACAACAUUUUUUUUUUCCCCUCAUGGAAAAUUCCUAUUAUCUCAGAAACAGAAAAUCUCCCCUAUGGAAAAUUUCCAGUGAGCUCCAAUUCUAAACCUUGAUGCCAGAAAACAUCUAGCAGGCAUUAGCAGAGGGUGACUCAGGGUGUAAUGUAUCAUUUAAUUCUGACUAGGGCAACAUAGCCACAGGAACUGGAGAACACAAGCAGGCUCUCAGCAUCCCUAACUCAAUAUUCAGUAGGCAAUCCACCAAAACCACAUAUGCAGAACAGGGAAAAAGUGUUACAAUAGCACUUCAGUAUUGAAAGCUCAGAUCUACCCUGAGAAAGAAACUGGGAAAAUGUCAUCAGAUGCACCAUCUCUGCUUCCUCUUGCUAACUUCCAAAUCCAACAUGUUUGUGUUACAAGAAGAUGCUUUUAUUUUUAUGUUUUUAGCAGAUAGUUUCACCACCCAAGGGUCUGAGAGGUUUCCUGCUCCUACAAGCAGUGGAGAAAAUCAUCUGGCAUUUUGUAGGUACAGCAGACUUGGAGUUUGAUCUGUUGUUGCACAAGAAAUAGUCUCCAGUCCUUGUCCAACAGCUCUGCUGCUGCUUUCCUACCCAGAAAAGAGACCAGCUGGCUCAGAAAGUGUUUUUCCCUUCAGCAGAAAAAGGGUGUGGGAUACAAGUCUGUUUCAGAAGACAAAAAACAUGGAGAGCUUCUUGAGCAGUUGACUGCAUCCAUGUGUUCUGUUCACCUUGCCAGUCCCUCUGCAAGUUUCCAGGUCACACUGUUCCCUAUCUGACAUCAGCAAAUCAAGGCAGGUAUGUCCUCCCCUCACAGAGCCUGGACUUUGGCUCGUGUACUGAGGCUGAGCCUCAGCCCCCCUGCAGCUCCAGCCUCUGCAGGGACAGGGUGGGAGCCCUUGGGCACUCCUGGAUCACCUCUGAAGGGUGUUUUCAUCAGGGAAGCAAGCAGAUACAAAAGCUCUGCAAAAUUCAAGCUGCAUCUGUCAACAACAAAGAAUGUACAGUUCUCAGCUGACAAUAAAACAUUUAUUCGUUUCCAUUCUUCUAUUUUUUUGUUUUCCACUGCUCAAGUGUUCUCUGUGUUGAGGUUGAAUCUUUCAGGCCCCAGUAGAUGUCUUCCCUAGAACACAGAGGCCCUGUUUUUCCCUAGAAUCUUCUGCCCUUGUCUAGCCUCAGUGUAAAAUGUCCUUUGCUGCAGAAAUGCAUUUCUUAUUUCUCUCAUCUGCCCGACGUUCCUUUCUUUCUGAAUUUUUUUUCUUUUAUCUUCUCACACCCAGCACUAUGACUUUGAUCUUGUUUUCUUUUGCUGGUGUUAUCCCAUCAUCAGCCAGUGAAAGACAGAGAAGAAAACUGGCUUUAUCAAGAAGACAGUUAUUCUUUUGUUCUCCAAGAUGACAAAGGGCUUGGCUUCUAAUGGUCUUUGCUCAACCUGUGCAUGGAUAAGCAGGUAAAGGACACCACUGUCUUUGCUGAGCACAAGGAACAGGGGGCAGUGAAAGAUGGGCAAAAGACAAGGAAGCAAAUAAUUAGGUUUCAAACCAAAUUCGAUUGAAGACGUUUCCCCAUCUCCUGAAUUGUCAAUGAAGCUGUAACAGCUCAGUUUCCUUAGAAAAUUUAAACUGCAGCCCCAAGUCUGAGUGAGGGUAAAGGCUUGGAAAGGUAGGACAUGUUUUUUGGCUCUGCCAAGAUAAUGUAAUCUCCUGGUGCCUAGGAGGUGGUGAUCAAAGAAAGGCUGUCUUGGGGGUUUGCAAAUGUCUGCUGGGUGAGUAAAGUGAGGGAUGUGUAAAGGUCAGAGUGCUCUGUUGAUAAGGGGAUGCACUGAAAGGGCACAAGAACCACAGAGGACUUCCUGUGUCAUGACAGCAGGUGCUGUGUGAAGCUGAGAGAAUAGCUGAACAAAGCAAACCACAAGGAUGACAGGAUAUUUAAAGCAAAAGGGGGAAAUAAUGAGUCAUCCCUAUUUAUCAAAGUGCAGGAAAAGAGAUUUCUGUCUCGGGUAAUUUCUCGAUGAGAUAUAAAGGCAGCCUUUAACAAAAGGGGGGAAAAAAUCUUAAUUCCAUUUAAUUUCUUUUAGCCCAAGCAACCAGAAUCCAUUUAGACUACAGAAGCUACCAAUUAUUUAACAUUGUUAGGGAAAAAAAAGUCAGUAUUUUCCAGGAGUCUGGAGAUGAAUCUGUCCCUGUAAUCAGUGAUGUUUUGCUUGGUUGUAAACAAACACAUCUCUACUCAGGAGUGUUCCUGAGGUACCCAGAGUGAAACAGCAUCAGGGCAACAUUGAGAAACAUCUUAUUUGGAACAGAUCAUUCCCAUGGAAUAGGUAAGGUAUUGAUUUGGGAAUUUAUUGGGUUUGGUGUUCCUUGUUAAAAGUUUGGCUUCCCAAAAGUCAUGGUUCCUUGGGGGAAGACCUUGCCAAUGGCCCCAGACACUCCCUCUGUUUGGUGUGGAUUUAUGCCUCAGACCCUCUGCUAUGUUCAGUGGACUCUUUGGCCAUCAGAAGCUUUUCCCAAGAGCUUUCAGGCAAGUUGCUGCUUAUUAUUCUGGUCGUAAAUCAGGUUACACAUGUUGGUUGCCUCAGGUGCUCAGCACUUCCACAGGUGCUGCUGUCAGAAAUAAUCCUCCUUAGCAAGGCAGGCUGGUGCUGUGAGGAGAGUCACCCUCCUGCAGACUGUCCAUCUGCUCUGCUGCUGUCCAUCUGUUGGUAUGAAGAGAAACUUCCAGGGAAUGGGAGGCUGCUAACGUGCACAGUGUGAGGCUGUGUGUAGGGAUAGGUUAAUGCUGAUAUCACUGCUGCUUGGUCACCUAGGUGAUGGAUCUGGCUGCUAUAGUAACCUGCAGCCUGCAUUGCUCAUCAAAUACAAAUUUUUACAAAUGGGAUUGUUUUAAGGUGCUGUUGCCCUGUCUGUUGCCCUUUUAGAAUUGUUACGUGGGUUGUGAGAUGAGACUUUGGAGUACAGGUUUUAUUGUCUGUUUUUUCCUUGAAAUUGAGUCCUGGAAAACACAAGAUGUUUAUGCCCAAAGAUUGAGCUUAGGAUAGAGAUAUUUGAAAAAAUAAAGACAUGCUAUUGCUCUUCACCUUCUGAAGUCUUGCCUCUUAGGCCCAUCCUUCACUAUGGAAGAUGAUGUUUCAGAGGAGCUAGAGCCAAUUAAAAAAAAAAAAAAGAAAAAAAAGCUAGGUAUCCACAAGGACUUCUCACAUUCUUCUGCCAUCAUGCAAAGCUGCAGCCAUGUGCUGUGCCAGGGUCAUGUCUGGGA